AGUGAACGCUGGCGGUAUGCCUAACACAUGCAAGUCGAACGGCAGCACAGUAAGAGCUUGCUCUUACGGGUGGCGAGUGGCGGACGGGUGAGGAAUACAUCGGAAUCUACUUUUUCGUGGGGGAUAACGUAGGGAAACUUACGCUAAUACCGCAUACGACCUACGGGUGAAAGCAGGGGAUCUUCGGACCUUGCGCGAUUGAAUGAGCCGAUGUCGGAUUAGCUAGUUGGCGGGGUAAAGGCCCACCAAGGCGACGAUCCGUAGCUGGUCUGAGAGGAUGGUCAGCCACACUGGAACUGAGACACGGUCCAGACUCCUACGGGAGGCAGCAGUGGGGAAUAUUGGACAAUGGGCGCAAGCCUGAUCCAGCCAUACCGCGUGGGUGAAGAAGGCCUUCGGGUUGUAAAGACCUUUUGUUGGGAAAGAAAAGCAGCAGGUUAAUACCCCGCUGUUCUGACGGUACCCAAAGAAUAAGCACCGGCUAACUUCGUG
Molecule: ribosomal RNA, 492 nt
Filed under: uncultured bacterium
Lineage: Bacteria
Description: partial 16S ribosomal RNA
Rfam family: Bacterial small subunit ribosomal RNA
Source: RNAcentral